GAAGUUCCAGAAUGUUGUCUUGUUUUUCCUUAACAACAUGGCGAUUCGUGAGAAAUCUACUUGUGGUUUUCUACGUAAGUCCUUAAUUCAAAGCUUUUAAAUGAAAAUUAAUAUUCACAGUAAAGAGAAAAUAUCAGAUGGCUCUUGAAAAUGCAGCUGUUAAUGCAAACCAUGAAGCUGACAGAAGUGCAGGAUGAUUCACUUCCUUUUAAUGAGAUUGUGAAUGGAGAUUACAAAUAAGAAUGCCUGUAGUGAUGACCAUUCUUUACAUGCUGUGGAGGAAGUUCUGCUGAUGAUUACGCUACUUCUAAUUAAGUGGCGCUGUUAAUUUAAAACGGACUUGGAGAAAAAGAAAAAAAGUGAUGUAGAUGCCAGCUAUUAAAGAAGACUAUUCUAUAAUUAUGAUUGACUCUAUUUGUACCUUUGACUCUUAUUUGUAGUAAAAAAUUUUGAACUAAAAUUUUUAAUGCAAAUAAAUUUGUUUAAUUUCUCUAAUUCAGUCUAUGUUUAUUUCUUUUAAGUCUUACGUUAAAAAAAAAAAAAAAAAAUUUCAUUCAUUUGUGUUAACUACUUAUAAAAAAUGUUUUUAAUGCUCUAUGUAUGUUUUUUUUUUUUUUUGUAUGGUGUACGUUUGUAGUAGUUUGGUUGUAAUUUAGUUUUAGAUCAUGAAAUGGCGCCAUCCUGAAAAGAAAAUCUUCACAAAGCUGUAAAAGACUCGAAUAUAUUUGUAGUUCAAAAUUGUCAUUUAUUACAUUUAAGUCAAUUGUUGCAUUAUAUCUUGAGCACUUUCAUUUGCACACAAGCAUAAAUAUCAAAAAAAUUAGUUACUAUUAUGGAAAACAAAAAAACUCGUGUACAAAUUGAAAUCUUUGAUGAAGAAUUCAACUUUUAUGUAACUAGAUUAGAAUCAGCUGAAUAAAUAAGAUACAUAUAUAUUUACAUGCCCAUGCUAGGUACGCCACUGUCUACAGAUUGUUUUUGCAUAUUUUUUAAGGGGGAAAAGGCCUAAAUUAUAUCUGACCCCUUGGCAACUGUCAUAUUUUCCUUGUUGACAGCAGUACAUGCAGAGAUUUGUGUGCAUUAAACUUGUUUUGAACAUAUACCUCUGAAAUGCGAACUUAUUUAUUUGUUUUUUUACUUUUCAGUUGUUAAUUGGAAACUGACUUGUAGAAAGGGAAAAGAAAUGUGAUAAAGAUGACAGCUAUUAAAAAUUACUGUUUUGUACUUUUGA
Molecule: long non-coding RNA, 1231 nt
Organism: Uloborus diversus
Lineage: Eukaryota; Metazoa; Arthropoda; Arachnida; Araneae; Uloboridae
Exons: 4
Source: RefSeq, a predicted model, not a curated record